GUUUUGGUAGUUUAGAAAGAACAUGGCGGUGAAGUUGCUAAAGUAGCAUUUAUGCUCCGAGACA
RNAcentral lists this transfer RNA (64 nucleotides) under Nototeredo knoxi. Its description in RNAcentral is "tRNA-Phe". Lineage: Eukaryota; Metazoa; Mollusca; Bivalvia; Myida; Teredinidae. The record is from RNAcentral.